AUUGAACGCUGGCGGAAUGCUUUACACAUGCAAGUCGAACGGCAGCACGGGGGCAACCCUGGUGGCGAGUGGCGAACGGGUGAGUAAUACAUCGGAACGUGCCCGGUCGUGGGGGAUAACGUAGCGAAAGUUACGCUAAUACCGCAUACGAUCUGAGGAUGAAAGCGGGGGACCUUCGGGCCUCGCGCGAUCGGAGCGGCCGAUGUCAGAUUAGGUAGUUGGUGGGGUAAAGGCCUACCAAGCCGACGAUCUGUAGCUGGUCUGAGAGGACGACCAGCCACAUUGGGACUGAGACACGGCCCAGCCCCCGACGGGAGGCAGCAGUGGGGAAUUUUGGACAAGGGGCGCAAGCCUGAUCCAGCCAUUCGGCGUGAAGGACGAAGGCUUGCGGGUUGUAAACUGCUUUUGUAUGGAACGAAAAGGCUCGGGCUAAGACCUGGGGCUCAUGAGGGUACCGUAAGAAGAAGCACCGGCUAACUACGU
RNAcentral lists this ribosomal RNA (483 nucleotides) under uncultured bacterium. Its description in RNAcentral is "partial 16S ribosomal RNA". It matches the Rfam family "Bacterial small subunit ribosomal RNA", at positions 29 to 506 of the family's 1533-position model. The record is from RNAcentral.